GACGAACGCUGGCGGCGUGCUUAACACAUGCAAGUCGAACGGAAAGGCCCUGCUUGCAGGGUACUCGAGUGGCGAACGGGUGAGUAACACGUGGGUGAUCUGCCCUGCACUUCGGGAUAAGCCUGUUAAACUGGGUCUAAUACCGGACAGAUGCCAUUUUUAGUGUGAUGGUUGGAAAGUUUUUUCGGUGUAGGGUGAGCUCGCGGCCUAUCAGCUUGUUGGUUGGGUAAUGGACUACCAAGGCGGCGACGGGUAGCCGGCCUGAGUGGGUGGACGGCCACAUUGGGACUGAGAUACGGCACCGGCUGCUACGGGUGGCAGCAGUGGGGAAUACUGCACAAUGGGCGCAAGCCUGAUGCAGAGAGUCCGCGGGGGGGAAGACGGUCUUCGGGUUGAAAACUACUUUCGCUAGGGACGAAGCUUUUUGUGACGGUACCUAGACAAGAAGCACCGGCUAACUACGUG
This 465-nucleotide ribosomal RNA is filed under the name uncultured bacterium. RNAcentral describes it as "partial 16S ribosomal RNA". It matches the Rfam family "Bacterial small subunit ribosomal RNA", at positions 28 to 507 of the family's 1533-position model. The record is from RNAcentral.